GUGGGGAAUAUUGGACAAUGGGCGCAAGCCUGAUCCAGCCAUGCCGCGUGUGUGAAGAAGGCCUUCGGGUUGUAAAGCACUUUCAGCGAGGAGGAAGGGUGGUGUGUUAAUAGCACAUCAUCUUGACGUUACUCGCAGAAGAAGCACCGGCUAACUCUGUGCCAGCAGCCGCGGUAAUACAGAGGGUGCAAGCGUUAAUCGGAAUUACUGGGCGUAAAGCGCACGUAGGCGGUUUUUUAAGUCAGAUGUGAAAGCCCCGGGCUCAACCUGGGAAUUGCAUUUGAAACUGGGAAACUAGAGUGUGUGAGAGGGGGGUAGAAUUCCAAGUGUAGCGGUGAAAUGCGUAGAGAUUUGGAGGAAUACCAGUGGCGAAGGCGGCCCCCUGGCACAACACUGACGCUCAGGUGCGAAAGCGUGGGGAGCAAACAGGAUUAGAAACCCCGGUAGUCC
RNAcentral lists this ribosomal RNA (450 nucleotides) under uncultured bacterium. Its description in RNAcentral is "partial 16S ribosomal RNA". It matches the Rfam family "Bacterial small subunit ribosomal RNA", at positions 354 to 796 of the family's 1533-position model. The record is from RNAcentral.